GCCGGGCAAGACCGGUGCCAGCCGCCGCGGUAACACCGGCGGCUCGAGUGGUAACCGUUAUUAUUGGGUCUAAAGGGUCUGUAGCCGGCCGGAUAAGUCUCUUGAGAAAUCUGGCAGCUUAACUGUCAGGCUUUCAGGAGAUACUGUCUGGCUCGAGGCCGGGAGAGGUGAGAGGUACUUCAGGGGUAGGGGUGAAAUCUUGUAAUCCUUGAAGGACCACCAGUGGCGAAGGCGUCUCACCAGAACGGACCUGACGGCAAGGGACGAAAGCUAGGGGCACGAACCGGAUUAGAUACCCGGGUAGUCCUAGCCGUAAACGAUACUCGCUAGGUGUCGGCCACGGUGCGACCGUUGUCGGUGCCGUAGGGAAGCCGUGAAGCGAGC
RNAcentral lists this ribosomal RNA (384 nucleotides) under uncultured archaeon. RNAcentral describes it as "bacterial SSU rRNA". It matches the Rfam family "Archaeal small subunit ribosomal RNA", at positions 441 to 824 of the family's 1478-position model. The record is from RNAcentral.